This 579-nucleotide ribosomal RNA is filed under the name uncultured bacterium. RNAcentral describes it as "bacterial SSU rRNA". It matches the Rfam family "Bacterial small subunit ribosomal RNA", at positions 347 to 916 of the family's 1533-position model. The record is from RNAcentral.
GGCAGCAGUAGGGAAUAUUGCGCAAUGGACGAAAGUCUGACGCAGCAACGCCGCGUGGGUGAUGAAGCAUCUUGGUGUGUAAAACCCUGUCGGUAGGGAAGAAACGUAUAGGUAGUAACUGAUCUAUGCCUGACGGUACCUACAGAGGAAGUCCCGGCUAACUCCGUGCCAGCAGCCGCGGUAAUACGGGGGGGACAAACGUUGUUCGGAUUUACUGGGCGUAAAGGGCGCGUAGGCGGACCUUCAAGUCGAAUGUGAAAACUAUAGGCUCAACUUAUAGCUUGCAUCCGAUACUGUCGGUCUUGAGUUUAUCAGAGGAAAGCGGAAUUCCAGGUGUAGCGGUGAAAUGCGUAGAUAUCUGGAAGAACACCAGUAGCGAAGGCGGCUUUCUGGGGUACAACUGACGCUGAAGCGCGAAGGCUAGGGGAGCAAACAGGGUUAGAUACCCUGGUAGUCCUAGCAGUAAACGAUGGGCACUAGAUGUCGGGAGACGUUGACUCUCUCGGUGUCGCAGCUAACGCAUUAAGUGUUCCGCCUGGGGAGUACGAUCGCAAGGUUAAAACUCAAAUGAAUUGACGG